AAAAGAAAAAGACGGAAUGGAUAAAAUGAUUAAAUUUUUUUUUACGUGGCGAACCGAUUGCCAUAGGAGUCGGCUGCUUAUCAUGGCGUGUAUACACCGGCAAGCAAAUGGCAAAGGCUAAGAGAGCGAUUUGGGAUACUCCAUGCUGAAUUACUGAGAGUCCUAUCACGUCACUGUCAAAUGCCGGACUUGUUUGACUUUGAAGAUACGAAGCGAAGGCAAAACCUGGUCUCUAGGUGGUCGGCUAAAUAUACCGGCCAAUUGUACUUAGUAGUUUUCUGUUCGUAUUUCGAACCACAAUGAUGAAACUAUUUGUUGACUACAGUUUAAUCAUAAUUCCAGCAAUUUUUGCAGUUUAACAAUUUCUGAUGCUUCUGCUGAUGACUGCUUUCGGCGAUACUAUGGUGAAAGUAGUUUUGUAUGUGUGUGUAAUGCCACCUACUGUGACAGUGCACCAAGUGUCGAUGGGCCUCUCCCAACCGGCCAAGCCAUAGUCAUUUCAUCCACACAA
Daphnia magna is the source of this 511-nucleotide long non-coding RNA. RefSeq lists it as uncharacterized. NCBI's taxonomy places the organism in Eukaryota, Metazoa, Arthropoda, Branchiopoda, Diplostraca, Daphniidae. The transcript is spliced from 3 exons. The record is from RefSeq and is a predicted model, not a curated record.